Molecule: long non-coding RNA, 570 nt
Organism: Rhagoletis zephyria (snowberry fruit fly)
Lineage: Eukaryota; Metazoa; Arthropoda; Insecta; Diptera; Tephritidae
Source: RefSeq, a predicted model, not a curated record
UUUCUGAAACGGUCUAAUGCAAUGCUGGGCAAAACGCUACUCGCGAGUAGCGUCUGCGUCGCAGCGCUUAUACGUAUACAGAAACGACGCAGCGAAUUUCAAUUCAGUCUGCUUUCAGAUUUCAUGAGAGUAACAUUAUGCUUCGCCGUUGAAUAUUUUUAUUCGUAAUUUUAGCGCGUGGUUGCCACCUAUAUAUGUAACAAUGCCCAAAAUGUCUGAGUAUGAGUGCCAAUUACAGUUUUCGGUUUUAAAAAAAGCUAAUAACGCCCAAUGCUUGUUGUGUGGUAAUACGACCAUUAACCAUAAACAAAUGAAAAAAACGCUCCACUCAGUGCAAUUAUAGAAAAGUGCUUCUCAGCGCGACGCACUAGGGCACACAUUGCAUACUUUAUUUUAUAAUAUUUUUUUUAUCAAAAGAAAUCGAUAGAGAAAUGUAAAUGCUGGUUUAUGCCCAAAAAUACUUAAUGAAUAAUAUUUAUAAGUUAUACUCUAUUUUUAAGACUAAAUACCUACUUAUAUGAAACAAGUAAUUUUUAGCAAGAAAAAAACCGACUUCAACUCUCAUAUAAA